RNAcentral lists this ribosomal RNA (500 nucleotides) under uncultured bacterium. RNAcentral's name for it is "partial 16S ribosomal RNA". It matches the Rfam family "Bacterial small subunit ribosomal RNA", at positions 30 to 523 of the family's 1533-position model. The record is from RNAcentral.
AUUGAACGCUGGCGGCAUGCCUUACACAUGCAAGUCGAACGGCGGCACGGGAGUAAUCCUGGUGGCGAGUGGCGAACGGGUGAGUAAUAUAUCGGAACGUGCCCAGUCGUGGGGGAUAACGCAGCGAAAGCUGUGCUAAUACCGCAUACGAUCUAAGGAUGAAAGCGGGGGAUCGCAAGACCUCGCGCGAUUGGAGCGGCCGAUAUCAGAUUAGCUAGUUGGUGGGGUAAAGGCCCACCAAGGCGACGAUCUGUAGCUGGUCUGAGAGGACGACCAGCCACACUGGAACUGAGACACGGUCCAGACUCCUACGGGAGGCAGCAGUGGGGAAUUUUGGACAAUGGGCGCAAGCCUGAUCCAGCAAUGCCGCGUGCAGGAUGAAGGCCUUCGGGUUGUAAACUGCUUUUGUACGGAACGAAACGGCCCUUUCUAAUACAGGGGGCUAAUGACGGUACCGUAAGAAUAAGCACCGGCUAACUACGUGCCAGCCGCCGCCGUAA